AAUCAACGCUGGCGGCGUGCCUCAGACAUGCAAGUCGAACGCGAAAGUUCCCUUCGGGGGAGUGAGUAGAGUGGCGCACGGGUGAGUAACACGUAGGUAAUCUACCUUUGGAUGGGGAAUAACAACCGGAAACGGUUGCUAAUACCGCAUAAUGCAGCGGCACCUAAUGGUGACAGUUGUUAAAGACGGGGGAGUCGAAAGACCUCGCGUCUGAAGAGGAGCCUGCGGCGGAUUAGCAGUUGGUAAGGUAACGGCUUACCAAGGCGACGAUCCGUAGCCGGCCUGAGAGGGCGGUCGGCCACACUGACACUGACAUACGGGUCAGACUCCUACGGGAGGCAGCAGUCGGGAA
This 352-nucleotide ribosomal RNA is filed under the name uncultured bacterium. Its description in RNAcentral is "bacterial SSU rRNA". It matches the Rfam family "Bacterial small subunit ribosomal RNA", at positions 32 to 361 of the family's 1533-position model. The record is from RNAcentral.